This 1382-nucleotide ribosomal RNA is filed under the name Klebsiella pneumoniae. RNAcentral's name for it is "bacterial SSU rRNA". It matches the Rfam family "Bacterial small subunit ribosomal RNA", at positions 1 to 1375 of the family's 1533-position model. Lineage: Bacteria; Pseudomonadati; Pseudomonadota; Gammaproteobacteria; Enterobacterales; Enterobacteriaceae. The record is from RNAcentral.
AAAUUGAAGAGUUUGAUCAUGGCUCAGAUUGAACGCUGGCGGCAGGCCUAACACAUGCAAGUCGAGCGGUAGCACAGAGAGCUUGCUCUCGGGUGACGAGCGGCGGACGGGUGAGUAAUGUCUGGGAAACUGCCUGAUGGAGGGGGAUAACUACUGGAAACGGUAGCUAAUACCGCAUAACGUCGCAAGACCAAAGUGGGGGACCUUCGGGCCUCAUGCCAUCAGAUGUGCCCAGAUGGGAUUAGCUAGUAGGUGGGGUAACGGCUCACCUAGGCGACGAUCCCUAGCUGGUCUGAGAGGAUGACCAGCCACACUGGAACUGAGACACGGUCCAGACUCCUACGGGAGGCAGCAGUGGGGAAUAUUGCACAAUGGGCGCAAGCCUGAUGCAGCCAUGCCGCGUGUGUGAAGAAGGCCUUCGGGUUGUAAAGCACUUUCAGCGGGGAGGAAGGCGUUAAGGUUAAUAACCUUGACGAUUGACGUUACCCGCAGAAGAAGCACCGGCUAACUCCGUGCCAGCAGCCGCGGUAAUACGGAGGGUGCAAGCGUUAAUCGGAAUUACUGGGCGUAAAGCGCACGCAGGCGGUCUGUCAAGUCGGAUGUGAAAUCCCCGGGCUCAACCUGGGAACUGCAUUCGAAACUGGCAGGCUAGAGUCUUGUAGAGGGGGGUAGAAUUCCAGGUGUAGCGGUGAAAUGCGUAGAGAUCUGGAGGAAUACCGGUGGCGAAGGCGGCCCCCUGGACAAAGACUGACGCUCAGGUGCGAAAGCGUGGGGAGCAAACAGGAUUAGAUACCCUGGUAGUCCACGCCGUAAACGAUGUCGAUUUGGAGGUUGUGCCCUUGAGGCGUGGCUUCCGGAGCUAACGCGUUAAAUCGACCGCCUGGGGAGUACGGCCGCAAGGUUAAAACUCAAAUGAAUUGACGGGGGCCCGCACAAGCGGUGGAGCAUGUGGUUUAAUUCGAUGCAACGCGAAGAACCUUACCUGGUCUUGACAUCCACAGAACUUUCCAGAGAUGGAUUGGUGCCUUCGGGAACUGUGAGACAGGUGCUGCAUGGCUGUCGUCAGCUCGUGUUGUGAAAUGUUGGGUUAAGUCCCGCAACGAGCGCAACCCUUAUCCUUUGUUGCCAGCGGUUAGGCCGGGAACUCAAAGGAGACUGCCAGUGAUAAACUGGAGGAAGGUGGGGAUGACGUCAAGUCAUCAUGGCCCUUACGACCAGGGCUACACACGUGCUACAAUGGCAUAUACAAAGAGAAGCGACCUCGCGAGAGCAAGCGGACCUCAUAAAGUAUGUCGUAGUCCGGAUUGGAGUCUGCAACUCGACUCCAUGAAGUCGGAAUCGCUAGUAAUCGUAGAUCAGAAUGCUACGGUGAAUACGUUCCC